RNAcentral lists this ribosomal RNA (360 nucleotides) under uncultured euryarchaeote. RNAcentral describes it as "bacterial SSU rRNA". It matches the Rfam family "Archaeal small subunit ribosomal RNA", at positions 347 to 709 of the family's 1478-position model. The record is from RNAcentral. Lineage: Archaea; Methanobacteriati; Methanobacteriota.
ACUUCACAAUGGGGGAAAACCCGAUGAGGGAAUUCCAAGUGCCAGCACAUUAUGUUGGAUGUUAUCUGGUCUAAAAAAACGGAGAAGUAAGGGCCGGGUAAGAAGGGUGCCAGCAGCCGCGGUAAUACCCGCGGCCCAAGUGGUGGUCGAUAUUCUUGAGCAUAAAAAGUCAGUAGCCGGGCGGGUAAAUCCUUGGGUAAAUCGACCAGCUCAACUGUUCGAAGUCCGGGGAGACUGCAAGACUUAGUAUCGGGAGAGGUGAGAGGUACGUCUGUGGUAGUGGUAACUUCCUGUCAUCCUAGAAGGACUAUCUGUGGCGAACUCGUCUCACUAGAACGAAUCCGACGUUGAGGGACGACG